AUUUUUUAUUUAAUUCGUUUAAAAUAUUUUUCCAUGGUUACAUGAUUCAUGUUCUUUCUCUCCCCUUCUCUCAUCCCCCUCCUGUAGCCAAAGUGCAAUUCUUAGGAGGGUAAUUUAUCCAAGGUCACAUAGUCCAUAAAUAUCAGAAACAGGACUAGAACCCAGGAAUCCUAAUGCUCUGUCUAUUGGAAUCCCCAGGCUGCUUCCACAGAUCCAGAGGCAAUAGACAUUCUGAUCAAUGGAGAAUAGACCCAGAGCAGCCAACUCAGACUCUGAGAGAUGAAAACCAUCACAAAACUAGAAAUUAUGGGAGUUCGGGGUCUCCUGUCUCUAAUUCCAGCUCUCUUCUGUUACAGCAUUUAAGCACUCGGUGACAAUGUGAGGAAGUGCCACUGGCUUCUCUUAAGGAUAAAGGCCUAGACGAAAGCCCCUGUGGGGGAGACACAUGCUGCUGAUGCUUUUCAGUGCCUUAAGAACAAGACCCAGGCCCAGGAAAAACUUUCCUGGCUUAGAAACUUUU
RNAcentral lists this long non-coding RNA (520 nucleotides) under Monodelphis domestica (gray short-tailed opossum). RNAcentral's name for it is "lncRNA (ENSMODG00000045553.1)". Lineage: Eukaryota; Metazoa; Chordata; Mammalia; Didelphimorphia; Didelphidae. The record is from RNAcentral.